GCCUCUUUAGCUCAGCGGUAGAGCAACGGUUUCGUAAACCGUAGGUCGUGGGUUCAAAUCCCAUGAGAGGCUCAA
RNAcentral lists this transfer RNA (75 nucleotides) under Bacteroidota bacterium. Its description in RNAcentral is "Bacteroidetes bacterium (sediment metagenome) tRNA-Thr". It matches the Rfam family "tRNA". From Rfam's summary of the family: Transfer RNA (tRNA) molecules are approximately 80 nucleotides in length. Their secondary structure includes four short double-helical elements and three loops (D, anti-codon, and T loops). The record is from RNAcentral. Lineage: Bacteria; Pseudomonadati; Bacteroidota.